GGGGAUGUCGGGAAUCGACGUGAAGAUUGUACUUUUAUAAGCGGCUAGAACGGAGUCAUCCGUUAAAUACAAAACACAAACGCAGAAAAACUUUCUGACGUAAUGGCUGAGGGAAUUUUCGCGGAUAUGAAGUCCCCUAAAAAGGCUUUUGUUCCAGCGUUCCAAUUCGCUUAAGUGUUACCCUCUCCUAGCAAUGUCUUGAGUUAGGAGAUGAAAAUCAUAGACUAUGGUGUAAUGCGUUUUCGAUGAGCCAUUGCAUUGAGAAAAUUUCAUCGGCUUUUCUGCAAGGUUUGCGAGUUUACCUGCAGGAUAGAAGCAAAAACCUGAUAUUUCUAGCUAUAACGUUUAUAGGAUGCCUUUGCGGACGGGGGUUCAACUCCCCCCAUCUCCACCA
RNAcentral lists this transfer-messenger RNA (394 nucleotides) under Patescibacteria group. Its description in RNAcentral is "OLB23 sp018062135 Standard tmRNA". It matches the Rfam family "transfer-messenger RNA". Rfam says of the family: Bacterial tmRNA, also known as 10Sa RNA or SsrA, is named for its dual tRNA and mRNA-like properties. Its role is to liberate the mRNA from a stalled ribosome. RNAcentral also lists the same sequence under 1 other name. The record is from RNAcentral.